RNAcentral lists this ribosomal RNA (490 nucleotides) under Clostridioides difficile. RNAcentral describes it as "partial 23S ribosomal RNA". It matches the Rfam family "Bacterial large subunit ribosomal RNA", at positions 1 to 493 of the family's 2925-position model. Lineage: Bacteria; Bacillati; Bacillota; Clostridia; Peptostreptococcales; Peptostreptococcaceae. The record is from RNAcentral.
GGUCAAGUUAUUAAGGGUGCAGGGCGGAUGCCUUGGCACUAGGAGCCGAUGAAGGACGUGAUAAGCUGCGAUAAGCUUCGGGGAGUUGCACGUAAACUUUGAUCCGAAGAUUUCCGAAUGAGGAAACUCACUUAGAGUAAUGUCUAAGUAUCAUUAAGUGAAUACAUAGCUUAAUGAGGGGAACUCAGGGAACUGAAACAUCUAAGUACCUGAAGGAAGAGAAAGAAAUUCGAUUCCGUAAGUAGCGGCGAGCGAACGCGGAUUAGCCCAAACCAAUAAAGUUUUCUUUACUGGGGUUGCGGACAUAUCAUAACGAAGAGGUAUCGUAAUUGAAGAGGUUUGGAAAGACCCACCACAGAAGGUAAUAGUCCUGUAUGUUAAACGAGAAGACUUCAGAUAUGAUCCAGAGUACCACGGGACACGUGAAACCCUGUGGGAAGCAGGAGGGACCACCCUCCAAGGCUAAAUACUACCUAGUGACCGAUAGCGU